RNAcentral lists this ribosomal RNA (484 nucleotides) under uncultured bacterium. RNAcentral's name for it is "partial 16S ribosomal RNA". It matches the Rfam family "Bacterial small subunit ribosomal RNA", at positions 29 to 507 of the family's 1533-position model. The record is from RNAcentral.
AUGCACGCUAGCUACAGGCUUCACACCUGCCAGUCGCGGCGCAGCAUGACCUAGCAUUCGGUUGAUGGCGACCGGCGCCCGGGUGAGUAACACGUAUCCAACCUGCCUAUUAUUCCGGGAUAGCCUUUCGAAAGCAAGAUUAAUACUGGAUAGCAUAACGCGAAGGCAUCUUCUUGUUAUUAAAGAAUUUCGAUAAUCGAUGGGGAUUCGUUCCAUUAGUUUGUUGACGGGGUAACGGCCCACCAAGACAUCGAUGGAUAGGGGUUCUGAGAGGAAGGUCCCCCACAUUGGAACGGAGACACGGUCCAAACUGCUACGGGAGGAAGCAGUGUGGAAUAGUGGUCAAUGGACGGGAGUCUGAACCAGCCAAGUAGCGUGAAGGAGGACUGCCCUAUGGGUAGUAAACUUCUUUUAUACGGGAAUAGAGUGCGCCACGUGUGGCUUUUUGGAUGUACCAUACGAAUAAGGAUCGGCUAACUCCGUG